CUCUCUCUCUCUCUCUCUGCGCCUCUCCCUCUCCCUCUCUCUCUCAAUGCCUCUCCCUCUCCCUCUACGGUCGAGCUAUGUCCGCUGCACCCGUCGGAUAUAUGAUGUUCCGCAACAAGCGGGUCCUGUCCGCUUCUUCCUACUCCAAGCAGACGUAGGAAUAAAGUCCUGAUAUAGGAAUGCUGCGGAGAUUUGGCUUCUUUUCUGUCCCUAGUUAUUGGAAGGACCACCGGUUUUGGCACUAUUUGCAGGAGCACUAUUGGAAAAACAAGUUGUAGUCAUAUCCCCAAAUUUGGUUGAUUUGGGGUUGCCAUUGACACCGGGGAAUGUGACUGUUCUCCAGCUCAAGCUAAAGUGAGGAAGACAUUUUAUACAAAUGUUCCUGAUGAAUAUAUGCAAGCUGUUGAAGAUCUGGUUGUCCCAAGGACUGAAUUUGGUAAUGCAUCAGAGAAAGAGCAUUACCAUGUGAAGGUGCUUGACAAACAUGGAGUGACUCUUUCAUGCAAAUGUUCUACAACAGAAAAUGGUAGAAAACUUGAGCUUCAUAAGGCAAGUAUUACGCCUUCCUCUAGCCAAUAUUCAUAACUAGAUGCUAUUAGUAAAAUGCAUGUGCAUUGCAUUUAGGAAAUAAUUCAUAGUAUGCAAAAGAACAAUAAAAUCACGGAUCGCUCCAUGAUUUAUAUGAUCGAGGUUAAUCCGUGUAUGUUGAUUGAUCUCUGGGGACCAAAAUGUGUCCAGGAAUGGAUCCAUCCACACAUGAGUGAACCAUUGUUCUGUCCAUUGGAUGGCAUACAUGUCAAAAAUCCAGCUCAUUCAUCGGGUAGUAUACACUUUGCACAUGCCCUGGGCUAAAAACUGAUGUUGGUCUGCUAAUCAAGGAAAAUUAUGCUUCUAUGAGAAAAAUCCUAGUACACUGCACAUAUACUCAGGCCAAAGUUCAUCUUGCUCCUUUGUGAUAAAUGGGUUGGGAAUCUUAGAAUCGGAUUUUUGUGAAGGUUUUAGCAUUCUCAACCCCAAGGAUUGUGUAUGGAAUCCGCGAGCACUUAGUUCUCAACUGGUAAUCUUGGUUGGCAGGUUGAGAA
This is a long non-coding RNA of Magnolia sinica, 1082 nucleotides long. RefSeq lists it as uncharacterized. The record is from RefSeq and is a predicted model, not a curated record. The transcript is spliced from 5 exons. Lineage: Eukaryota; Viridiplantae; Streptophyta; Magnoliopsida; Magnoliales; Magnoliaceae.